GAUGAAGAACGUAGCGAAAUGCGAUAAGUAGUGUGAAUUGCAGAAUUCAGUGAAUCAUCGAAUCUUUGAACGCACAUUGCGCCCUUUGGUAUUCCAAAGGGCAUGCCUGUUCGAGCGUCAUUUGUACCCUCAAGCUUUGCUUGGUGUUGGGCGUCUUGUCUCUAGCUUUGCUGGAGACUCGCCUUAAAGUAAUUGGCAGCCGGCCUACUGGUUUCGGAGCGCAGCACAAGUCGCACUCUCUAUCAGCAAAGGUCUAGCAUCCAUUAAGCCUUUUUUUCAACUUUUGACCUCGGAUCAGGUAGGGAUACCCGCUGAACUUAAGCAUAUCAAUAAGCAGAGGA
This 341-nucleotide unclassified non-coding RNA is filed under the name soil metagenome. RNAcentral's name for it is "partial contains 5.8S ribosomal RNA, internal transcribed spacer 2, and large subunit ribosomal RNA". The stretch from base 1 to 120 matches the Rfam family "5.8S ribosomal RNA", at positions 35 to 154 of the family's 154-position model. The record is from RNAcentral.